GUGUCAGCAGCCGCGGUAAUACGUAGGACCCGAGCGUUGUCCGGAUUUACUGGGUAUAAAGGGUGCGUAGGCGGCCUUGUGCGUCAGAGGUGAAAUAUCCGGGCUUAACCCGGAGGGUGCCUUUGAUACGGCAGGGCUUGAGUGCGAGAGAGGAUGAUGGAAUUCCUGGUGUAGCGGUGAAAUGCGUAGAUAUCAGGAGGAACACCGGUGGCGAAGGCGGUCAUCUGGCUCGUAACUGACGCUGAGGCACGAAAGCGCGGGGAUCAAACAGGAUUAGAUACCCCUGUAGUCC
Molecule: ribosomal RNA, 292 nt
Filed under: uncultured bacterium
Lineage: Bacteria
Description: partial 16S ribosomal RNA
Rfam family: Bacterial small subunit ribosomal RNA
Source: RNAcentral